Molecule: long non-coding RNA, 10256 nt
Filed under: Vitis vinifera (wine grape)
Lineage: Eukaryota; Viridiplantae; Streptophyta; Magnoliopsida; Vitales; Vitaceae
Description: long non-coding RNA (VVIN_LNC000615)
Source: RNAcentral
UCCUGCCUCAAGUUUUUGAGCAUCAUUUCCACACACUAAGGUAACAAAACCUGCUUUCUAAGUACAGUGCUUAAUGUCCUAAUUACUCUAGCUUAAGGUGCUUGACUAAAUUAACCUAUUCUUAUUACAUCAUGCUUCAAGGCAAGGAGGUGCUAUUUUGGUAGACCACCUGGAAAUAGCCAACAUUGAUGUUAUCUAUGGCUCCUCCGGAGAAGGUGCAGCAUUAGAGGCUGAGUUCAAAAUAUCCUUGAAUGCUUACCUGAAAGAGCUGGUAGCAUCCCCAGUAAGAACUUUGGCUGAUGUGAUAGCCUUCAACAACAAAUUCUCACAUUUGGUGAGUACAUUCAGGAGGGGUUUUAAUUAUUUACUUGCUGUUCUAGAUUCCGCUAGGAUUGUUAAAACCACAUUCUGAAAAGAUGACUAAUUUAAUUACUUGAGUAACUGCAGGAAAAGAUCAAGGAGUAUGGACAAGAUACCUUUCUGCAGGCCGAAGCCACAAAUGGGAUAAACAAGAAAACUUUGUUAAAAUUAGCAAGAUUGUCACGAAAUGGAUUUGAGAAGUUGAUGAAGGAGCAUAAGCUGGAUGCAUUGGUGACUCCUGGUUCAAAUGUGAGUCCUGUUCUUGCUAUUGGAGGAUUCCCUGGAAUUUCUGUUCCAGCUGGAUAUGAUAGCAAAGGAGUACCAUUUGGCAUUUGUUUUGGGGGCCUAAAGGGCUCUGAGCCAAAGCUAAUCGAGAUUGCAUAUAGCUUCGAGCAAGCAACUAAGAUUAGGAAGCCACCUUCAUUUAAACCUUGAAGGUUUAGAACAACUCCUAUCAGAGUUGUACUACAUGUAUCAGUAUCAAGAACUCUUCUCUCUAGUUGGUAAUCCUGCACUAGAAAGGAUAUUAUAAUAAAGUGCUCAAUGUUUUGAAUGAACUAAGAUGGUACAGAGGCUGGUUUUCUCCAAAUCAUCUAAAUUAUGAAGUUUCCCUCUACCAUUUACUGUUGUGAUUGGUGCCAUUACAGUGCACUACCCUCUGAAUAACCACUCAUUUAUUUGCAAUAAAACAUGCAGAAUUCAUACAUAUAUCCUAUGAUAAAUGUAGAGAUACAUGAGCAAAAAGGAUUAGAUAAAAAUGUAAAACGGGUAUCAAUACUAAGAUAAAAGUAGCUGUAAAUUUGAUUAUCCUUAAAUUGGUUUACACAACUUCUAACAGCAGCCAGCCACUGAAAUUAUUUGUAGUUACUAAUUUUAGAUGUCCUUUUAUGGGCCAAAAAGUUUCAUUAGCCUUUUAUGGGGCAAAAAAUUAGAACGUUCGUUAAAUUAACAAUGAACUUCCACUCCUACGUCUUCCAACUUUUUCUCCUUUUUUCUAGCCUUAUGACUAGCAGUAUCCAUCACCAUCACAGGCCAUGCAUUCUCAAUCAAAGAAGCAACUCUCCAUGUUUUCCAUAAGGCUUUCAAGCAAAAUAAACUCAAUUCAAGGCAGCUGGUUGAGUUCUAUAUUAGUGAAAUUCACAAAUUGAACCCAAUCCUUCAUGGGGGUAGUAGAGGUGAACCCGGACCCACUCCUCCAAGCAGAUAAUGCUGACAGAGAGCAAAAGGCUGGGUCACCCGGCUUGUUGCUUGGGAUGCAGGUGUGAUGAGGAGGUUAAGGCUUGGGCUAUAUAGUGAGGAAUCUCUUCUUUACGUUGAGUGGGGAAGUAACCCAGCCUAACCCCAACUGAUUUUGAUUAUAAAUAAAGUCUUAACUUCCUCUAGAAGUGUAUGCAGUAGCAUCUUCUUUUCAUUUAUGUUCUUCUAGUGACAAAGGUUGAAUCCAUGACGAACAAGGACAUGAAAAAACAAAAUUAUACCUAUAGAAGGAAAAGCUAAAAAAUGUUGCAGAUCAAUUAAUCAUGAGGUGGCUAAUCACAACUUCUGAAGGCCACCAAAUGACUUCUAAUGACCAAUUUUCAGGAGCGAUAAAAAGUUCAAUCAUGACAUAGAUACAAUUCGUCUAGAUGAGUAUUUGGUUUACCUCUUUCCAAAGCUUCAAGGUCACAGAUAUAAUAUGUUUAUAUCAUAUCAUCCAAAAGCCCCACGAAACUAAGGUAUGUUUGAUGACUAUUUUUAAGAAUUAAUUUUUAUUAUUUAGAAUAACAAAAAUAAGAAAACAUGUUUGAUAAUCAGAAAACAAAAGAUAUGAUGUUUUUAGAUAAUACUUUUUAAUUAUUUUUUUAGGACGAUAUUAAAAAAAUAGUUAUACAAAUAGAAAGAAUAAUUAAAAAUAAAGCUCUGUAUAUAAAAAUUAUUUUAAAAACAUAUUUACAAGUAUAAGAAACAAGUUAAGCAUAUUUUAGGUUACGUAAUUAACUUUUGUUUUACAAAAUAUCAAAAAAGGGUUUCAAAAUAUUGUUAUCAGAAGCUAUUUUUAAGAAUUAUUUUUGUGGGAUGGUGGUGACUUAGAGAAAAAAAUCUCACUUGAUGAAUUGGAACUUGGUUUGUACCAAUAAGAAAAAGGGGGGCCUUGUAAUUCAUAGAAUUGUGGAUUUAAACAAAGCCUUACUUAGGAAGUGGACCAGAUCAAUUAAUCUUAACGGCCACAAAAUGAUUUCAAAUGACCAAUUUUUGGAUGUACUUGUGUGGGGACGAAAAAUUUGAGUCACGACAUGUGGGACAUGUGGGCUAUGCAAUUUCAAGAGGAGCUAUCAUUAAUGUGCUCCAUUAUUGAAGCUAAAUGUCUGGAUAAGAAUUUUUUUGCCACUUUCAACAGUUUUAAGGCCAUAGAUACAAUUUGUUAGUGCCAUAUCAUCCGGAAGCCCCAAGACACCAAUAUACUCAACCUUAGAUAUAUUUAUACACUCUUAUCAAGCCUACUUCCAAGUUGAAUAACUGGUGAAAUCAAGUCAAUACAAUAAUGUCCAUCCAUUUCCAUGUCUCCACACUAUUUCUCCUUCCUCUAGUCUUACUACCGUCUGGAUCCAUUGCCAUCACAGGCCAUGCAUUUUCAAUCGAAGAAGCAACUGUCCAUGACUUCCAUAUGGCUUUCGAACAAAACAAACUCACCUCAAGGCAGCUGGUUGAGUUCUACCUGGGCAAGAUUCACAAACUCAACCCAAUUCUUCGUGGGGUAAUAGAGGUGAACCCAGAUGCACUCCUCCAAGCUGAUAAGGCCGACAGGGAGAGGAAGGCUAAGUUACCUGGGUCGCUGCUGGGGCUGCACGGCAUUCCUAUAUAUUCUGCUUAAGGAUAAUAUUGCAACCAAGGACAAGAUGAACACAACAGCAGGAUCAUUUGCAUUGCUUAAAUCAGUGGUGCCAAGGGAUGCAGGCGUGGUGAGGAAGUUGAGGAAGGCUGGAGCUAUCAUACUGGGAAAGGCUAGCCUCAGCGAGUGGGCUGCUUUUCGUGCUACUGCUACUCCUUCGGGCUGGUGUGCUAGAACUGGCCAAGGUAAGGUAAGUUGUGAUCCAAAACUCAAAUUUUCCGACGGUAGUUAGCUUACAUUUUGGUUCUCAUCCUCCCCGGUAAAGAUAUGAACAGAUAUAGGCAGAUGGAAAUUAUACCCAAUAAUUUUUUAAUCAAAUUCUUAGAAGGGGAAAAGCUUUUCUGUUUAAGGAGAAUUUGUGUACUCGUUGGAAAUUUCUGCUGUUUUGCAUUUAUCCUGAGAAGUUUGUGUUUGUUUGUCAGGAAAAGCAGAGUUACUCUAUGAUUUCUAUAGCAUAUUAAAUGUAGAAAGUGGAAUUUACUAAUUUCCAAUUUCUCAUUCCAGUCAGUGUAAGUCUCCUCGUGAACUUGAACAUACACGCCAAAAAAGAUCAAAAAAAAAAAAAUUAGAAUCUGAAUACAUGAAUCUGCACUAUGAUGCUGCACGCCAAAAAAGAUAACGAGUUUAGACACGUUUGCCAAAGGAGUGAAAAGUGUGUGGAGCAUCUGGCCGGAGUCGCCAUUAAAAGGAAAAAAGCUUCUUUCCAUUUAGCAUUCACACUAUGGUUGUCAAAUGGGUUUCAGUCUGUCAUUAUGUCCUACAACAAUCAUUCACCAUCAGUGGGUGUACCAAAAGAUUCUUCCUAUCAAUCAUAUCUUUUUUAUCUGCCCACUCAAAUGUGUGGAAAUUUUAUUUUUUUAAGGGUCUAUUGAUUCUGCCCAACAUUCUGUUUCGAGUUGUCAUAUUUCUCUAGCAUUCUUGUGUUUCUAAUACUAAGUAUAUGGGAUAAGAGAUUGAACAAAAACAAGAAGCCUCAAACUACCGUUGAUUGCAAAAGGGAAGAAGAUUAAGGAUGAAAAUAGGACUACAAUGUGUUGCAUAAACAGUUUUAUGAAUCUUAAGCCUACGAUUUCAUUGGUGUGCAGAACCCUUAUGUUCUAUCAGCAACUCCCUGUGGCUCAAGUAGUGGAUCAGCUAUAUCAGUAGCAGCAAAUUUAGCGGCAGUGUCUCUAGGGACGGAGACUGAUGGAUCCAUCUUAUGUCCAUCCCACAUUAAUUCAGUAGUGGGCAUCAAACCAACACUUGGUCUCACCAGCCGAGCUGGCGUGGUUCCAAUCUCUCCUAGGCAGGACACUGUUGGGUAGGUGAUGCUUCAUCUUCCUAAAUCCAAAUAUGAAACUAUCAUCUGUUGAACAACCAAAGAUAGCAGACUGCUCAAACAUAUUUGAUGCAACAGGCCCAUCUGCAGGACAGUCUCCGAUGCUGUCGAGGUACUGGAUGUCAUUGUUGGUUUUGACUACAGGGAUGAAGCAACCAGGACAGCAUCCAAGUACAUACCACAAGGUGGCUAUAAGCAAUUUCUCAAUGCAAAUGGGCUCAAGGGGAAGAGAUUGGGGAUAGUGAGGAAUCCCUUCUAUAUGUUUGGGAAUGGCUCUGUCCUCCCUCAAGUUUUUGAGCAUCAUUUCCACACACUCAGGUAACAAAACCUGCUUUCUAAGUACAGUGCUUAAUACCCUAAUGACUCUAGCUUAAGGUGCUUGACUAAAUUAACAUAUUCUUAUUACAUCAUUCCACAAAGGCAAGGAGGUGCUAUUUUGGUAGAUCACCUGGAAAUAGCCAACAUUGAUGUUAUCUAUGGCUCCUCCGGAGAAUAUGCAGCAUUAGAGGCUGAGUUCAAAACAUCCUUGAAUGCUUACCUGAAAGAGCUGGUAGCAUCCCCAGUAAGAACUUUGGCUGAUGUGAUAGCCUUCAACAACAAAUUCUCACAUUUGGUUAGUACAUUCAGGAGAGGUUUUCAUUAUUUACUUGUUGUUCUAGAUUCCGCUAGGAUUGUUAAAACCACAUUCUGAAAAGAUGACUAAUUUAAUUACUUGGGUAACUGCAGGAAAAGAUAAAGGAGUAUGGACAAGAUAUCUUUCUGCAAGCCGAAGCCACAAAUGGGAUAAACAAGAAAACUUUGUUAAAAUUAGCGAGAUUGUCACGAAAUGGGUUUGAGAAGUUGAUGAAGGAGCAUAAGCUGGAUGCAUUGGUGACACCUGGUUCAGAUGUUAGAACUAUUCUUGCUAUUGGAGGAUUCCCUGGAAUUUCUGUUCCAGCUGGAUAUGACAGCGAAGGAGUACCAUUUGGCAUUUGUUUUGGGGGCCUAAAGGGCUCUGAGCCAAAGCUGAUCGAGAUUGCAUAUAGCUUCGAGCAAGCAACUAAGAUUAGGAAGCCACCUUCAUUUAAACCUUGAAGGUUUAGAACAACUCCUAUCAGAGCUGUACUACAUAUAUCAGUAUCAAGAACUCUUCACUCUAGAUAGUAAUCCUGCACUAGAAAGGAUGUUAUAAUAAACUGCUCAAUGUUUUGAAUAAACUAAGAUGAUAUGGAUGUUGGUUUUCUCCAAAUCAUCUAAAUUAUGAAGUUUCCCUCUACCAUUUACUGUUGUGAUUGGUGUCAUUACAGUGCACUGUCCUCUGAAUAACCACUCAUUUAUCUGUAAUGAAACAUGCAGAAUUCAUACAUAUAUCCUAUGAUCAAUGUAGAGAUACAUGAGCAAAAAGGACUAGAUAAAAAUGUAAAACGGGUAUCAAAACUAAGGUAAAAGUAGAUGCAGAUUUGAUUAUUCUUAAGUUGGUUUACACAACUUUUAACAGCAGCCAGCACUGAAAUUAUUUGUAGUUGCUAAUUUCAGAUGUCCUUUUAUGGGCCAAAAAGUUUCAUUAGCCUUUUAUGGGGCAAAAAAUUAGAAUGUCCAUUAAGUUAACAAUGAACAUCCAUUCGUAAGUCUUCCGACUUUUUAUCCUUUCUUCUAACCUUAUGACUAGCAGUAUCCAUCACCAUCACAGGCCAUACAUUCUCAAUCAAAGAAGCAACUCUCCAUGUUUUCCAUAAGGCUUUCAAACAAAAUAAACUCAAUUCAAGGCAGCUGGUUGAGUUCUACAUUAGUGAAAUUCACAAACUGAACCCAAUCCUUCAUGGGGGUAGUAGAGGUGAACCCGGACGCACUCCUCCAAGCAGAUAAAGCUGACAGGGAGCAAAAGGCUAGGUCACCUGCCUUGUUGCUUGGGAUGCAGGUGUGCUGAGGAGGUUAAGGCUUGGGCUAUAUAGUGAGGAAUCUCUUCUUUACGUCGAGUGGGGAAGUAACCCAGCCUAACCCCAAUUGAUUUUGAUUAUAAAUCAAGUCUUCCUCUAGAAGUGUAUGCAGUAGCAUCUUCUUUUCAUAUAUGUUCUUCUAGUGACAAAUGUUGAAUCCAUGACGAACAAGGACAUGAAAAAACAGAAUCACACCUAUAGAAGGAAAAGCUAAAAAAUGUUGUAGAUCAAUUAAUCAUAAGGUGGCUAAUCACAACUUCUGAAGGCCACCAAAUGACUUCUAAUGACCAAUUUUCAGAUGUGCUUCGGUGGGAGCGAAAAAGUUCAAUCAUGACAUAGGUAUAAUUUGUCUAGAUGAGUAUUUGGCUUACCUCUUUCAAAAGCUUUAAGGCCACUAAUAUAAUUUGUUCAUAUCAUAUCAUCCCAAAGCCCUUAGAAACUAAGGUGUGUUUGAUGACUAUUUUUAAGAAUAAUUUUCUAUUAUUUAAAAUAACAAAAAUAGGAAAACAUGUUUGAGAAUCAGAAAACAAAAAAUAUGGUAUUUUUAGAAAAUACUUUUAAAUUAUUUUCAAUUAUUUUCACUUAUUUUUUUGGACCAUAUUAAAAAAUAAUUUUAUAAAUACGAAGAACAAUUAAAAAUAAAACUCUAUAUAUAGAAUUUAUUUUAAAAAUAUAAAAAACAAGUUAAGCAUAUUUUAUAUUACUUAAUGAACUUUUACUUCACAAAAUAUCAAAAUAUAAACCCUUUUUUAGAAUUAUUUUUCGAAAACACUUCUCACAGAAGAUCAUCGUGUACUCCAUAUAUAUACACGCACUGUCAUCCAGCCUACUUUCAAAUUGAACAACUGGUGAAAUCAAAUCAAUACACAAUGUCCAUCCAUUCCACUAUCUCCACAGUAUUUUUCCUCCUUCCAGCCUUAGUUCUAUCUGGAUCUGCUGCCAUCACAGGCCCUGAAUUCUCAAUCAAAGAAGCGACUGUCCAUGACUUCCGUAUGGCUUUCAAACAAAACAAACUCACCUCAAGGUAGAUGGUUAGGUUCUACCUGGGUGAAAUGCACAAACUCGACCCAAUUCUUCAUGGGGUAAUAGAGGUGAACCCAGAUGCACUCCUCCAAGCCGACAAGGCUGACAGGGACAGGAAGGCUAAGUUACCUGGAUCACUGCUGGGGCUACAUGGCAUUCAUAUUCUGCUUAAGGAUAAUAAUGCAACCAAGGACAAGAUGAACACAACAGCUGGGUCAUUUGCACUGCUUAAAUCAGUCGUUGUCUACGGAUGCAGGCGUGGUGAGGAAGUUGAGGAAGGUUGGGGCUAUCAUACUGGGAAAGGCUAGCCUGAGUGAGUGGGCUGGUUCACGCUUUGCUACUCCUUAUGGCUGGUGUGCCAGAGCUGGCCAAGGUCGGGUAAAUUAGGAUCCAAAACUCGAUUUUUCUGAUGGUUGUUAGCUUACAUUUUGGUUCUCGUCCUGCCCAGAAAAGUCCUGUAAACAUGAACAGAUAUAGGAGGAUGGAAAUUAUACCCAAUUAUUUUCAAUCAAAUUCUGAGAAGGGACAAAGCUUUUCUGUAUGCGUAGAACUUGUGUCCUCCUGGGAAAUUUCUGUUGUCAGGGAAGCACAUUUUCUCUUUGAUAUCUAGCACAUUAAAUUGAAGAAAAUGGAAUGUACUCAUUUCCAGUUUCUCAAUCUAGACAGAGUAAGAGUCCCCGUGAAUUUGAACACUUGAAUCUGUACUUAUGUAGCUACACGCCAAAAAGGAUGUAACAUUUUAGAAUCUGACCACGUGAGUCUGCACUAUGAUGCUGCAUGCCAAAGAAGGAAAAAAACAAAUCUUAGACGUAUUUGCCAAAGGAGAAGGUGAAAAGGAGGUGUGAAUUGAAACCCACUUUUUAGAUUAAGAAUGGACCCAGCAAGAUAGUGGAAAAUGCGUGGAGCAUUUGGUCAGGGUCACCAUUAGAGAAGCAAUAAAGCUUCCUUCCAGUGAUCAUUCACAGUAAGGUUUUCAAAUAGGUUUCAAUCUGCAAUUGAUUUGUCCUGCAUCAAUAACUCACCAUCAGUGGAAGAACCAAGCCACUCGUCAUAUGAAUCGUAUCUCUUCUUGAUCUGCCCCACUCAAAUGUGCUCACUGAUUCUGUCUAACAAUCUGUUUUACGAUAUAUGUUUCUUGCAUAACAACAUAUAACAGUUGUAUCGUGUUGCAUAAACGGUUUUAUAACUCUGAAAUAUAUGAUUUCAAUGGUGUGCAGAACCCUUAUGUUCUGUCAGAAACUCCUUGUGGCUCAAGUAGUGGAUCAGCUAUAUCAGUAGCAGCAAAUUUGGCAGCAGUGUCUCUAGGGACGGAGACUGAUGGAUCCAUCUUAUAUCCAUCCCACAUUAAUUCAGUAGUGGGCAUCAAACCAAUGUUUGUUUUUUGGCUGAAUAAAAAAAGCCAAAAUAUUUAGUUUUUUCUAUUUAACUAAAAGUAACUCAUUGAUAUCAACUAACAUAAUUAAAUUAAAUUUAUUGAUAAUAAGUUCACUUUAAUUGUAUUGAUUAAUAUCAACGAGGUACUUUUAACUUAAUAGGAAAAACCAAAUAUUUUGGUUUUUUCUAUUCAACCAAAAAACAAACACUACCACUACUGUCUCACCAACCGAGCUGGUGUGGUUCCAAUCUCUCCUAGGCAGGACACUGUUGGGUAGGUGAUGCUUCAUCUUCCUAAAUCCAAAUAUGAAACUAUCAUCUGUUGAGCAAUCAAAGAGACCAGACUGCUCCAUCUGAUUGCCAAACAGAAAAGGGAGAAAUGACGAUGAAAAGUUGGGAUCAUACAACUAUUUAAGAUUUCAAAUGAUGAUUUUCAGUAGUAAAUUCUGUAUUUCCUCUCUUCAUCCACGAGCCAAUCAAGCAUCAAUGAAUGUAACUGGAUUCUGUUGCAUACAAUUCAAGAUCUUCACAUGCUUCUGUUAAUUAGUAGGUUUUGGUAUAAAUCUGCUUGCUUUUGAAUCAUCAACAUAUGCUUCACUACUUGGUUUUUGACUGGAGAAACUUUGUAGUUUUGUUAUAUCCACUGGUAUCAGAACACAAUGGUGUUAAUUCUAGUAAGGACUCUUAACAUGUUGGAUGCAACAGGCCCAUCUGUAGGACAGUCUCCGAUGCUGUAGAGGUACUGGAUGUCAUUGUAGGUUUUGAGAAGAGGGAUGAAGCAACCAGGACAGCAUCCAAGUACAUACCACUAUAUGCAAUUUCUCAAUGCCAAUGGGCUAGCUCAAGGGGAAGAGAUUGGGGAUAGUAAGGAAUCCCUUCUAUAUGUUUGAGAAUGGCUGUGUCCUGACUAAAGUUUUUGAGCAUCAUUUCCACACACUAAGGUACUAAAACCUGCUUUCUAAGUACAGUGCUUAAUGGCCUAAUGACUCUAGAUUAAGGAGCUGGCCCUAAUUUAACCUAUUGUUAUUACAUCAUGCUACAGGGCAAGGAGGUGCUAUUUUGGUAGACCACCUGGAAAUAGCCAACAUUGAUGUUAUAUUUGGCUCCUCCAGAGAAGAAGCAACAUUAGAGGCGGAGUUCAAAAUAUCCUUGAAUGCUUACCUGAAAGAGCUGGUAGCAUCCCCAGUAAGAACUUUGGCUGAUGUGAUCGCCUUCAACAACAAAUUCUCACAUUUGGUAAAUACAAUCAGAAGGGGUUUUCAUAAUUUAUUUGAUGUUCUAGAUUCAAAUAAAGAUUGUCAAAAUCACAUUCUGGAAAGAUGACCAAUUUUCUUGGGCAACUUCAGGAGAAAAUCAAAGAAUAUGGACAAGACAGCUUUCUGCGAGCCGAAGCCAC